This 355-nucleotide ribosomal RNA is filed under the name uncultured Clostridium sp. RNAcentral describes it as "bacterial SSU rRNA". It matches the Rfam family "Bacterial small subunit ribosomal RNA", at positions 1027 to 1382 of the family's 1533-position model. The record is from RNAcentral. Lineage: Bacteria; Bacillati; Bacillota; Clostridia; Eubacteriales; Clostridiaceae.
CAGGGAGACAGGUGGUGGCAUGGUUGUCGUCAGCUCGUGUCGUGAGAUGUUGGUUAAGUCCCGCAACGAGCGCAACCUUACUCGUUAGUUGCUACCAUUAAGUUGAGCACUCUAGCGAGACUGCCCGGGUUAACCGGGAGGAAGGUGGGGAUGACGUCAAAUCAUCAUACCCCCUUAUGUCUAGGGCUACACACGUGCUACAAUGGUGAGGACAAAGAGACGCAAGACCGCGAGGUGGAGCAAAUCUCACAAACCUCAUCCCAGUUCGGAUUGCAGGCUGAAACUCGCCUGCAUGAAGCCGGAGUUGCUAGUAAUCGCGAAUCAGCAUGUCGCGGUGAAUACGUUCCCGGGCCUU